UACGGGGGGGCAAGCGUUGUUCGGAAUUACUGGGCGUAAAGGGCUCGUAGGUGGUCAACUAAGUCGGACGUGAAAUCCCUCGGCUUAACCGGGGAACUGCGUCCGAUACUGGAUGACUUGAGUUCGGGAGAGGGAUGCGGAAUUCCAGGUGUAGCGGUGAAAUGCGUAGAUAUCUGGAGGAACACCGGUGGCGAAGGCGGCAUCCUGGACCGACACUGACGCUGAGGAGCGAAAGCCAGGGGAGCAAAACGGGG
This 254-nucleotide ribosomal RNA is filed under the name uncultured bacterium. RNAcentral describes it as "partial 16S ribosomal RNA". It matches the Rfam family "Bacterial small subunit ribosomal RNA", at positions 524 to 778 of the family's 1533-position model. The record is from RNAcentral.